Molecule: long non-coding RNA, 433 nt
Filed under: Sinocyclocheilus anshuiensis
Lineage: Eukaryota; Metazoa; Chordata; Actinopteri; Cypriniformes; Cyprinidae
Description: lncRNA (ENSSANG00000031647.1)
Source: RNAcentral
AGCCGCUAGUCAGCAGUCCUCCUUAUUAAUGUGUCUGUGUGCACUCUCACCUGACAGACUGUCUGUGGGACUGACGGCCCUCUGGAGUCGAGCCCCUCGUGGGCUGAUAGGAGCCGAACGUGAAGUCCUCCUCAUCCAUCAGAGAGGCUGCAGAGAGCAGGACCAGAGGCUGUGGUGUGUCUUUCUUCUCUCCCGUGACGGGUCUCUCCAGCAGACGAGGAGACGUUCCUUGGCUCAGGAUCUCAUCCAGUCCUGUGUGAGCUCUCAGAGGAGGAUCACUGAUCAUAGAGGACAGCCCAGAGCAUCCAUCAGAUCAUCUUCAUCGUCAUCAAACGUCAGAUCAUCUCUCUUCUUCACAGCAUCUGCUGUUAAAACACACAGAAAACAGAAAGAGACGUCAACGAGCUGCUGCUGGGUUUAUCUUCUGUUAUAG